Molecule: ribosomal RNA, 254 nt
Filed under: uncultured bacterium
Lineage: Bacteria
Description: partial 16S ribosomal RNA
Rfam family: Bacterial small subunit ribosomal RNA
Source: RNAcentral
UACAGAGGGGGCAAGCGUUGUUCGGAAUUACUGGGCGUAAAGGGCGCGUAGGCGGCCACCGCAAGUCGGUUGUGAAAUCUCCGGGCUUAACCCGGAAAGGUCAAUCGAUACUGCGGGGCUAGAGUGCAGAAGGGGCAACUGGAAUUCUCGGUGUAGCGGUGAAAUGCGUAGAUAUCGAGAGGAACACCUGCGGCGAAGGCGGGUUGCUGGGCUGACACUGACGCUGAAGCGCGAAAGCUAGGGGAGCGAACGGG